Molecule: long non-coding RNA, 473 nt
Filed under: Capsella rubella
Lineage: Eukaryota; Viridiplantae; Streptophyta; Magnoliopsida; Brassicales; Brassicaceae
Description: long non-coding RNA (CRUB_LNC001589)
Source: RNAcentral
GGACAGAGAAAAGUCACCACGGAUCAAAGCCAUCAAGAAGUUGACUCCAACCCUACUCUUGAAAAGGUUCAUAGUAACUUGUUUCAUUUUGUUUAUUAAAGUUCUAUGACCGCUUUAAUACACUUGUCUUUUUCCAAGAGUGUUGAUACACAUGUAGGUGAUAAGGAGAUACAUGAUGUGAAACCAACUGAGAGAUCAACAUUGAAUGAUGUGAAGCAGCAAAAUCCAGAGCUUUUAAUUUUUUAAUCUAUCCCAAAGGAGGAAAUGAUGAUCACGCAUAGCUUCUUGUUACAAGAAGAACUGUCGGAUGCCUUGUUGAACACAGAAAGCCCAUUCUCCAAGAAACCGGACCAGGUAGGUAAUCCUCUUACUAAAUUUAUCUAUGAUGGAUAUAAUUCUUUGUUAUAUGAUUUAUUAUAUCAAGAACUAGUGAGAAAAGUUUAUGUUCAAAUGAGAAAUUAUUUGUUCAUAAU